Molecule: transfer RNA, 69 nt
Filed under: Geocalamus acutus
Lineage: Eukaryota; Metazoa; Chordata; Lepidosauria; Squamata; Amphisbaenidae
Description: tRNA-His
Source: RNAcentral
GUAUAUAUAAUUUACUAAAAAUAUCAGACUGUGACUCUGAAAAUAGAAGCCAACAACUUCUUAUAUACC